GGAUAACUGGUGCCUGGAGGUCUUGUCGGGCUCAUCUUCCGACUCCCCACAGCUCUCUUAGCUGUGCAGCUUGGCAGAUGUGGUUGGACACCGACCUAUUAAUGAUUCAGGACCAUGGACAGCAGCACGCGCUUACUCCCGUGAAGUAGGAGCUGUCAAGAUGGAUCCCAACAAAUAAAAUGUCACCGUCAAUAUUAUAGAAAUUUCCAAACAGAUGAACAUGCCAAGAUGAGUAUCAUUCUGGGAUGUCACAGG
Molecule: long non-coding RNA, 255 nt
Organism: Camelus dromedarius (Arabian camel)
Lineage: Eukaryota; Metazoa; Chordata; Mammalia; Artiodactyla; Camelidae
Exons: 4
Source: RefSeq, a predicted model, not a curated record